CCUAGAAUAAAUCUAAGGUGCAACCUGCCCAAUGAUUUCCUAUUAUUAACCAUAAACAGUUAAAAAGAAGUUUAAAGGACGCAGUAACCUGACUGUGAUAAUGUAGCAUAAUCACUCGCCAUUUAAUUAAUGGAUAGUAUGAAUGGUUAAACGAAUCUUUCACUGUCUAAAAAAGAAGAGUCAUGAAAUUAAGAUAAUAGUCAAGACGCUAUUUAAAAAUGUAAGACGAAAAGACCCUAUAGAGCUUAACUAUAACCUUUCUAAAUAUUAAAGGAAGUUUCCUUAAAACAGAAAGUUUGGUAGUUUAGUUGGGGCGACUGCCUUUUAAAAAUAACAAAGGUAAGCUAUGUUAAUAAAAGAUUUAUUGUACAACCUUUAAGUUUAACAAUUACUAUAGUAGGCUAUAAUGACCCGUUGAAGUAAAGUAAUACACUCAACGACCAAUAAAUAAAAGCUACCUUAGGGAUAACAGGAUAAUUUUAUCUCAGAGAUCCCAUCGAAGAAAAAGUUUAUCACCUCUAUGUUGAAUUAAGAUAUCCUAGCAGUGCAAAAGCCGCUAAAGGUAGGUCUGUUCGACCUUUAAAAU
This 586-nucleotide ribosomal RNA is filed under the name Crypthelia cryptotrema. Its description in RNAcentral is "partial 16S large subunit ribosomal RNA". It matches the Rfam family "Bacterial large subunit ribosomal RNA", at positions 1833 to 2594 of the family's 2925-position model. Lineage: Eukaryota; Metazoa; Cnidaria; Hydrozoa; Anthoathecata; Stylasteridae. The record is from RNAcentral.